GGUGAAGGCACUAGGGUAACAUUGUUGAUUGUUGAUUGUUAGGAUAACUGUCAUUUGUAUAUGCAAACUUGUCCAUUGAUACCGUAAUGUUAUUCAUAGACCCUCUCGUCUCAAUUUGAUAAGUGGUGUACACACGUUUGUUUUGUAGUAAGAAAAAGGAGGAUAUCGAACUUGUGAGAUGAAUUGUCUAAAAGCCUUGUGACUGCCGUAGUUUCCUAGUUUUCUUUUGUUUAAGCAUCAUGAUAGUAUAGUUUUUAUUUUGUUGCUUGAGGACCAAAAAUGUUCUUAGUUGAAGGAGUUGAUGUGCUAUGAUUUUAUGAAACUUCCAAAGCCCAAAAUAAGGGAUUGGUAUACGUUCGUAGUACUUUUUGGUAGAUAUGAUGUAUGUUUGUGAGUUUUUGCAGAAAACAGGUAUCAGAAGUGAACAACAAAAAAAGACUGAAAAAGUAAUGUUGACUCUUGGAGCUAAGGUACGACUCGUAGGGUCAAGGAACAAAUCAUACCAAGGCCCAUUCCGAUGACCAAAAAACAAGUCCUGAAGACUGAAAUCCAAGUAUAAAAUACGAAUGCUAGAUAUGACUCGUGAAGUCAAGCCACGAGUCCAUUUGACCUAUUCUAAGAAGUCAUGAAUUAGAAAAGCAAAAAAAUCAAUGAACACAAAUGGAAUGAAUAACUCGUGAAGUCAACAUACGGGUCAUGCUCACUCAUUCGGAUGGAUCGUGGAAAGAAGAAACAGAAGGUUGAAAAGUUAAGAGUUAGUCACCAUAGAAGAAAGCUACGAUUCGUGAGAAGAAGGCACGAGUCAUGGUGACUGGUUCUGAGAUGUCGUAGGAAGCAGUUACUGAAAAUGUGCAAAACAAGACCCAAUGGAUACGAGUCUUUGUAUGACUCUUAUGAUCAAAGAACGAGUCAUAUUGAGCAAUAGCAACAAAAUUCAAGACGAAUGAAGAAUGAACAACGACCUAGACCCACGAGUCGAGAGGACACCCUACAACUCAUAGGCAUUUUCAAACCUCCAUUCUUAUUGUGUUUAUGAUAAGUUUUGUUUUAUAUAUAAAUACUUUUCCUAAGUUCUCUUUUAUUUUUAUACUUAUUACGCUCUUUGAAACCUUAGAAACAUAUAAAUGGUUGUGUUCUUGAAUUUUGAAGAAUUUUUUUUUUGAUAAAUAAAGAUUUUUAUUAGUACCAAAGUGAGUCCAUUACAAAGAGCUGACCUCUUGCCUCUUAGAAAAGAAAAAAUAAUCUAUACACUAGCCCUUUUAUCUAUUACAUAUUCGGAUUCUAUCAUGACACUAGCAGUACUUAUGGAAAUUUAUUCAAUUGUUGAAGUUGAGUCUGCCAGCGAGUAUUUCCCCUACCAGUGAUGUGCAUAUGUAGUGCAAUUUUCCUGUAUAACAUGUCUGCAUAGUAGUGUGCAGCUUGAAACCUUAUUCUAUUUCUUUCUCUCCAUAUUAUAUUCACUAGCAUACCAAACACACAACAAAUGAUAGCUCCUUUACCUGUCUUCUUUUUUGCUAUGUGGUUGACUACUGUACCUCUUCUUGCCAGCAGCCAAUAGUCCUCUGAAUUUUCAACCAUGUCAGUAAUCUUUGCCAUAGACUUAGUCACGUAGCAAUCAAAGAGUAAGAGGUACAAUGUUCCUGUAGUUGAAUCACAGAAUAUGUAAUUUUAAGGCACAUAAAAUGCCAAAUUUCAGCAGCCUAUCCAUAGUUGCUAACCUUCUUCUUAUAGCCAUCCAUAAGAUAAAUUUAUGUUGGGGAUGAAUAUGUUAUUGAAGUAUUAUGAUCUUCCAGGGUACCUUUUUGUACUGGAGUAGCAGCUAAUUUCCUGAUGCUAAGCUAGCCAUUGACUACCACAGUUUUGAAUCUAGUCUCAAGGAUUCCCUGCAAAGUUGGGCAUUGCAUAAUAAUUCUCUUGAUGCUAUAUUUUCCGGAUGACCUAUGUUGCAUUUGCUGGAAUAUGGCAUGUCUCUACUGUCUCAUAUCUACUUGAUCCAAAGGCAUUCCUUCUUCUCAUUGAUUGCCUAUAAUAGUUUUAAGAUUGAUGUCGUGUUCCACAGUCUCACAUUCUACAUAUUUAUCCCUCCUGCUACUUGAGGCAUGCAUAAUUUAUCCCAAGACACAAGGGACUUUCUGGAUAUCUCUGUAGAACCUUUCCACAAGAAAGUUCUACUAAUGGCUUCUAUCAUUUUCAAGAUUUUUUUGGGUAGGACAAACAUUUGUGCCCACUAAGUUUGUAUACUGAGUACCAUUGCCUUGAGCAACUGUAGUCUACCAGCAUAAGACAGUAAUUCUGCAGACCAACAUCGGAUUCUCUCUGUUAUCUUUUCCACUAGGGGUAUACAUUGACUCACUAUGAGUUUUUUGAAGAGAGGGACCCCCAGGAAUUUGAAUGGGAUUUAUCCUUCCCUGUAUCCAAGUGCCUGCAGUAGUUCUUGCUUUUGCUGAGGUUUUACACCUACCAUAUACAAGGAGCUCUUCUCCGGGCUUGCUUGAAGGCCUGAUGCAGUUGAGAAUCUUGCAAAAGCCUCUUGCAACAGGUGUAUUAACUUCAGUUUAGCCUUACUGAACAUUAGCAAAUCAUCUACAAAACUGAUGUGAACCACACCCAUCCUUUUACAAAUGGGAUGAUGCCUGAAAUCUUUGUGUUGCUGCACAAGUUGGAAUUUUCUAUAGAGAUAUUCCAUUUCAAUAACAAAAAGGUAAGGGGACAUAAGGUCCCCUUGUCUUAUGAAAUGGCUUUGACAGGCAACCAUUGAUCACAAGGGAAUAAGAAACAGAAGUCACACAUUCCAUAAUCCAUACUAUGAAUUUUCUUGGAAAACCUAAUUCAGCUAAUAGCACCUUCAGAAAACCCUACUCAAUUGAGUCAUAAGCCUUCCUAAGAUAAACUUUCAUGACACAGCUAGGUAAUAGUCCUUUCUUGGAGUACCACUUAAAAAUUUCAUGAUUGAAAAAGAUGUUGUCUGCUAUGUUCCUACCUUCCACAAAAGCUGAUUGGGAGGGGUUUAUAUAUGCUGGGCAACACUUUUGAUUCUAUUAGUAAGGAUCUUGGUGUUUAUUUUGUAGACUGUAGUGCAACAAACUGUAGGUCUAUAAUCCCUCACAUAAGUUGAAUUGGUUACUUUAGGGAUUAAGGUCAAAACUGUACGGCUAAAAGACCUCAAAAGUUUUCCAGAUUCAAAAAAUUCCUUAACAACAUCAAUUACAUCCUGUUUUAUUAUGGACCAAUUUUACUCAGCUGGGAAACCAUCAAUACCUGGGGAUUUAUCAUGUGGCAUGCUUUUUAUGAUUGCAUAGAUUUCCUGCUCAGUAAUAUGAGUGAUUAGCUUGCAUUUCUAAUCAUAGGAAAGGCAGGGUCAACUUCUGAUAACUUCAACAUUUGGACAAGGUAGUUCUGUUCCAGCUGUUCCCAUAAGGUUUGAAAAGAAUCUGGUGAAUUCAGCUUCCACCUACACUGGAUCUUCUAACCUGUUCCUCUGUUCAUCAUAGAUACUAGUAAUGGCAUUUUUGUUUGUCUGGAUCUUCAAUUAUGCAUGGAAGUACUUUGUGUUUGCAUCUCCCCAUCUAUCCAAUUGACUCUAGCUUUCUGCCUAUAAACCUGCUCCUCAAUUUUAUUCCAUUUCUUGAGUUCAGUCAACCAGGUGCUUUCUUGUUCAAUUAAUGUGGGACACAGGGGCUUUAUAAUGAGCAGUCCUUGAGUGAUCUCAAGGCCUUAUCUAGCUUUCUGGAUCCUCUGAAUGUAGGAAGCUAAGUAAUUGUUCAACCCCUUUAGAACUUUCUGCAUUGACUUUAGUUUAUACCAUAGGAUGAACAUAUUAGUCCCCUGACAUGAAGUAUUCCAUGUAUCUUAUAGAAUCCUACCAAAGUUAGAGUAAUUUUAGCACUGUCGUGUAUAAUUUGAAAGGUUUUGGACUUAUUGGUGGCUGAGAGCAUAUGCUGACAACUAUGGGGGAAUGAUCAGAUACUCCAAGAUUCAAAUACUCUGCCUCUACAUGACCAUAAGUAGAUAUCCAGCGAGAGUUGCCAAAUGCCCAAUUUAUUUGGAAUGCACUCUACUACUAGGGUACUACCUAUUGUAGAAAGUGAAAUAACAACCCUUAGCUUUGAGUACUGUGAGGGAGAGGGUAUUGCUACAUCCUUGGAAGCUGUUAACUUCACUAGGCAGAACAGGUGAGCCAAUUCUAUCUUCUACUGUCAAAACAUUAUUGAAAUCACCACUUAGCAACCAGGCAUUCUAAACAUGUUGUCCCAGUUGAAUUAAGUCUUGACACAAUACUUCCCUAUUUUGACUUUCACUUCUAGUAUAUAUUAUAGUAAGGUAAAACUAGAUGUGGUUUAUAGGGACCUCUAGCUUACAAUGUAGAAAUUGUUCAUGGAGGAGUUCAACCUGCAAGCUGAUGUUUGCCUUCCAGAAUAUCCACACCCUACCACUCUAGGCCAUAAGGUAGUUGAAUCUAUGAUUCCAUCCACUUGCAACCUUCUCUAUUACCUUUUUUUAUUUAUUUUCUUUCACUCUAGUCUCAAACAUACCCAUUAUUUCAACUUUAUUCUUCUGCAGAAAGAAUUUUAGCUCUUUCUAUUUUGAGGACUGGUUCAACCCUCUUAUAUUCUAAGUUGCUACUAUCAUGGAGCUUUGUGAUAUAUCUCCUUAUUUCCAGCAUUACUAGUACCUUCCUACAUUAACACUGAAAAUCUAUUCACUAUGUUGCUGGUACUGGUUUUUAUCUCUUUUCUUUUAGUGCUUCUGAUAGUAGUGACCUCUUGGUCAUGUAUGAUUUCAUUUUCCUUUUCAUUCUGUACCUCCAGUGAAGUUUUCUCCAUGUACUUUAUUUUUGUUCUUUCUUCUUUGCCUUUUCUUCACUUCCUGGAAUUUAUAAUCCUUUGUUGAGUUUUCUUUCAUCCAACAAUCAGAUGUUGUGUGACCAAAUUUCAAAAAUUCACUAAAAAACUUAAUUAAUUUAUACUCAACAGGUUGUUGAAAGCUUCCCCCCCGGAGUUAUUAGUUAAACAGUGUAUAGGAGUGGUUGGGCAACAUCCACUUCAACCAGAAUCCUAGCAUAAGAUAUACUACUCAUAUUCACAUUAAAUUGAUCCGUAUAUAAUGGUUUUCCCACUGCACUUGCAACUUUACUGAGGGCUUCAGUUGAACAGUAGCCCACUGGAAGACUUGAGAAAGUUACCCAUAAUAGAAUUUUAGUAAUUCAAUCAGGUUUGAAGAUGAAAUUCACCUGGCAGUCAUGACGUAAAAGGGCUUGUUGUGGAAUGUGUAUGGGCCAGCCUGCUUCACCCUUCACAAUCCUCCAUAGAAUUAAAUCUAAAGAUGAAGUAGCCCUCAUUAUGUAGUAGUACCUGGGGUUUUUGGGCAAAACUCCAUGCCUGUGAGAUGUAACUUUUCAUUGCUUUCAGGUAUGGUGUAUUGCCUAUGACGUAUCCAAUAAUGGCUAUUUUCCAGUACUUCUCUUGUUCUUUGAGGUCAUACGCCUCAAUAUUUACUAUAAGUUUUCCUUCUUUCGAGCUCGGUGGGACAUAAGACAGCUUCUUACCUCGUUGUAUAGUGCGAUUCUCAUGUUUCUCUGACUUGUCCACAAGAGUUGGGUGGGUUGAAGUACCCACCUUUGAAAAUUGCAAUCAUCGAGCUGCCUGUGCCAUUGUUGGUGGUCCGAAAGAUUGCAGGUAGAGUGAUUUCUGCGACUAUGAUUCCAAUUAACUAUCUUCCUUACCUUCCAAGAUUGACUGUAUCUGAGAUGGGAUGAAACUACCGAAGGUCAGUGAGCCUAAUUGGGUGCUCUGGAGUUACCAAUUUCUCCGUUAGUUUACCCUUCCUGGUUUUUCGAUGUCGAGGUAUGUUGUGGCUUCUGUCGGUGCACAUUAGCAUAUCCUAGCUAAAAUGCGUUGAGAGAGAAACAUGACCUCCUUUCUCUGGGUUAUUCAAUGUAUGAAGAAGUAUUCAUACAUUGAUUCUUGGUUAUUCAAUUUUCUUUGAUAAUUCAAGUCUCUGGAUUUCAUCUACUCAAUCUCGUAAGUUUAUAAUUACAAUUUUGUCUAUAACUUCUAAUUGGAAUUCUGAGAGUAUUAGUAGUUUAAUCCACAACUAGGAUUGUGGGAACCAUGAUAUAUUAAAAAAAUAGACUAAACUACUUAUUGAUAGUGUUUAUGCAUUUAUUGUUCUUUCCUUUGUAUUAGUUGCUUUUUAACAAGUGGUACACAGUAAAACUUGCAUUAUUUUUGCUUGUUGGGCCAAAGAGGUAAUGAAUGAAAAAAGAGAUUAAUAACAGAGGUUUGAGGGUAUCAACCCUCAUUGAGUAGCUUAAGCCCUGUUCAGAAAUAGUUAAUUUGAAAUCAAGGGUAAGAGUUAGUAAAGCACACACUCAUAGACGGACCAAGUUGCACAGUGAUAUUCAUCUAUCGAAGGACCAAUAAUUUAGGUGAACUUGACUUACUAGUUUUUCAUUCUAAGAACUAAGAUAGAUCACUAUACGACACACUUACUAAGUUAUGAAAUAAUGGGGAACACAAUCCUAGUCAAUUCUCUUUAAUUUUCUCAAUAUACUCAGAUAACUAUUUACUUAUUACUUCAAUUUGCAAACUAUUUACUUGUUCAUUUAAAUCCCCCAAUUACAUAUAAAUGACUAAAAUCAUAAAUAACCAUAUUGACCUAGUCCUAACCAUAUUUCUUGUAGGAUCGACCCAACCUCAAUUGGAUUCUAUAUUUGAAUAUCAAUUGAUUUAUAAUUCAUUUUAGAGGUAUAAUUUGGGUAACAUCAACAACUUGGAAUAAUCCUCUGCUGAAUCUCUAGCCUUGACAGGUAAGAAGUGAGUUGACUUAGUUAUUCUAUCUACAAUCACUCAAAUUAAGCUAUAUAGUUGAUGCUUACGUGGUAGGCCAGUUAUGAAAUCCAUAUUAAUUAUCUUUAAUUUCCAUCUAGGAAUGUUUAUAUCGUGAGCCUUACUAUUGGGCCUUUGAUGUUCAACCUUCUUUUCCUGACAGUUGGGACACUUUGCUAUAAAAUUUGCAAUGUCCUUUUUUGUACCACACCAUCAAAAGAUUUCUCUCAAACCACGGUACAUCUUGGUGGAACUUGGAUAAUAAAGUAUCUAGAAUUGUGAGCCUAUAUCAAAAUCUACUCUCUCAACCCAUCUAUAUUUGGAGCAGAUAAUCUACUAUAAUACCAAUGAAUACCAUUCUCCCCAUGACAAAAAACUUAAACUUUUUUCUUACAGACUGCAUCCUUCACUAUCUUGCUUCUCCUUUAUCUUAAUCACGAAAGAGGACUCAAAACCAUUCUACACUAUUACACCACCAAAUGUGCGAGUCUAUGUGAAUCCUUUACAAGCUCUUUCUUACCUUACUUACUUCACAAGCUCUUUAUUACCUUAUUCUAUAUGAGCAACACUCCUCAUAGACACCCUUCUAAGAGCAUCAACAACAACAACUUUUGUCUUUCCCAGAUGGUAUAACAUACUUAUGUCAUAAUCCUUGAGAAGUUCAAGAUAUAUUCUCCAAUGAAGAUUCAACUCUUUUGACUAAAGAAAUAUUACAAGAUCUUAUGAUCUGUGAAGAUAUCAACAUGCGAACUAUAAAGUUAAUGACACUAAACUUUCAAAGAAAAUACCACCGCUUCUAACUCAAGGUCAUGAGUGGUGUAGUUAUUCUCAUGAUUCUUAAGUUGUAUAGAAGUAUAGUAAAUGACCCUUCUGCAUGAAAACACAACCAAGGCAAACUCUAAAAGUGUCAUAACAAAUCAUAAAAUCAUUUGUACCCUUUGAAAAAGUCAAAAUUGGGGUAGAAGUCAAUCAAUCCUUCAACUUCUUAAUGCUCUUCUCAUAAAAUCAGACCACUAGAACAUAAUCUUUUUAUAUGUAAAAUAUAUCAAAAGGGUAGCAAUAGAUGAGAACCCCUUAAGACACCUCUUGUAGUAACCAGCUAAACUCAAAAAGCUCCUAAUAUUUGUCCAAGUAGUGGUAGGCCUAGCCCAAUUUUCCAUCACCUUAAUCUUUUGAGAGUCAAUCUGAAUACCGUCACUUGAAAUAACAUGCCCAAGAAAAGAAAUUGAUCUAGUCAAAAUUCAUACUGAAAGAACUUAAUGAACAACUAUCUAUCCCCAAGAGUCUUAAGAACAAUCUGAGGUGAUCAACUUGUGCUUCCUUACUACGGGAGUAGAUCAGGAUAUCAUCCCCGUAGAUCAGGAUAUCAUCUAUAGAAUUGCUAAUGAACAUGUCAAGGUAUUAUAUUCUAUUCAUGAGGUCCAUAAAAGAUGAAGGAGCAUUUUUUAGUCAAAACUACAUAAAAAGAAACUCAUAGUGACCACACCAAGUUUAGAAAGAUGUAUUCAAAAUGUCACUCUCUAACCUUUAACUUAUGGUACCCGAAUUUGGGAUCAAUCUUAGACAAAUAAGUAGAAUACUAUAUCUGGUUAAACUUGUCAUCAAUUUUAGGAAUUGGAUACUUAUUCUUAAUUGUGACCUUGUUCAAAUGAUGGUAAUUAAUACACAUUUUGAGGGAACCAUCUUUCUUAUGCACAAAGAGGAUCGGGGCACCCCAUAGGAAAACACUGGGUUUGAUGAAUUCCUUGUCUAGAAGGUCUUUAACUAUUCUUUCAAUUCUUUUGACUUGACUUAGGCAUUCUAUAUGGUAGAAUAGAGAUAGGUUGCAUAUUAGGAAGAAUAUUUAUUCUAAAGUUUGUCUCCAUGUCAAGAGGGACUCCGGGAAUAUUGUUACGAGACUUCUGGAAACUCAUUGACUAUAGGAACUGACUGAAAAGAUGGAGUCUCAAACUUAGAAUCUUUACCCCAAACUAGAUGGUAGAUAUACCCCAUAUAGAUCAUCUUUUUAGUUAUAAGGUAUGAAAUCGAAUGACCCUUACGAACAGUAGGAAUACCCUUUCGCUCUAUGACUUGCUCAUUAGGACACUUAAACUUUGUAACUCUGACUCUACAAUCAAUUAAGGCAUAGCAAGAAUGUAAUAAAUCAAUGACAAGAAUGACAUCCAAGUUUGAUAUAUCUAACUCUACUAGAUAAGUUGUGGUAUCUUUAUGAUAGAUUGAAACAACACAACUUUUAUAUAUUCUUUUUAUUAUAAUUGACUCUUCUGAUGGAUUAGAAAUAGAAAAUAGUUCUAGGAGUUGUUCAGGACCAAUUUCAAACUUUACAGCAACAGAAGAGUUACAAAGGACAAAGUGUCUCCAAGGUCUAACAAGCAUAAAUAUCAAGAAAGAAAACUUUUAACAUACCAAUAACAAUAUUUGGGGAACUCUUCCGAUUUUAACAAAAAUAUAAGGUAUAUAAGCGUUAUGAUACCGUUUGUACCAGAGGUGGUACAUUUUUUAGUAUUCUAGCUUGGUGGAGUUGAUGAUAUAGUGGACUAAGUUCUUUUAUCCUCAUUGAGUUGUAUAGGUGAGAGGUAAUACUUAUGCAUAUGACCCUUCUGACCAUAUUAGUAACAAACAUGCCACCAUAAACACACUCAAAAAGAUAAUUCUUACCGCACUUGCUGCAAACAGAUUAAGAUAGGUACCCUCUUCCAACACAGUAAUGACCCGAGACUACCCCAUAGUCAUUACAUGGUGCUUACGGUUUUAAGGGACGACAAGCUAACCUAUGAGUUGGUACCUUCUGUGAGCACUGAAUAAUAUAAUCAUGAAUGCGGAAGAAUAACUAAAAUACUAUAAGGUUUUAAUAAUGAAAUAUCUACUGAAUUAUGAAUCUGAUAAAAAUACUGAAAUCUGAAUAGUCUGAAUAGCUAACUGUAGUGUCUGAAAAACCUCUAAAUUGAAUACUAUGAGUUGAUGGGACAGGCCCCCAACCAACUCUAUUAACUUCUGAGAUAAAGACAUGAAGUAAUAUAAUCUAUCCUCGGAUGAUGAGGACUUACCACUGCUACUGUACUGCUGAUAAUCUAAGAAUCUAGGUGCGAUCCGAGAACUGAGCGUCAGCACCUAUGAUAUGAGACAUCAUAGCACAAAAGAAAAGUAUGCAAUUAGCGCUUUGAAUGUAAUAGUAUGCUAAAUGAGGUAGGCUGAUAUGCAAGGUUUCAUGAAUAGGAGUAAUAAACUAUCUGAAUACACAUGUAAAGCUUGUAGUACUGAGUAUUGGACAUGAAUCCAUAGAUACUGAAAAUAUGGAGAAUCUGUAUAGACUGAGUAUGCAUGACGGUUUGUAAAUACUAAAGAUACGUAAAAAUCCAUAAAUACUGGGGAUGUAUGACCAUGCAUAUAACAUGGACUGAGUAAGAUUUGUAAACUGAAGUACUGAAAUAAGUAGUGUCUGUAUGCUUGGGUCAAACAACACUAAAACUGAAUGACUAACUGGAGUUGUAACUGAGACUGCAUCUGAGACUGUGGGAGGUAUCAUCUAACUGACAUUCCCCAAUUUAAGCUAAUCAGGGUCCAACCUAUAAUCAAGUGGUAAGGGUGUUAAUAUCAUAUCACAGGUAAUAACAAUGGUUAUGUGGAUCUACUAAACUAAUCUAAUGUCCAUAGGACUAAGGGUAUCAAGCCUGAACUGACGAGUGACCCCUGCAAAAUAGUCAAGUCUAAUCUGAUAAGUGACUACUCAUAUCUUACACUGGCUAUGUGGUUUCGGGGUAUAGGGACUACUACUAACUACUCUGCCUAUCUGACGGGGAAGUCGUCAUCCCUACACUCGCUCGGUGCUAAAUCCUACUCCUAACUGAAAGACUUUGAAAUAAUACUAGACUAUUUUGAGUUUAAAUGAUUGUUCUGAUAAUGCUCAUAAUAUAAUCUGAAUUUAUUCUGAAGAUACUGCAAUGAGAUUAAGUAAAUAUCUAUGGUUUUUGGGUAUUCAAUACACCCAGGACUCAAAAUAAUAAUACUGAAAAGACACUAAAGGUUAAGGGACAAAGCAUGAAGGUUUUUAUUAAAUCAAUCACUUUUGUAGGCAUUUUAUCAAACACUUGUAGUUCAUGGUUCAAAACAAUCAUAAGAAUGUCCUAAAACAUAUAGAAAUAGCAUGAAUCUAUCAUAAUAGAGUUAAAUCAUAGCUUUGUUCAAUAAAUAAUAAUAUUAAAACAUGGAGAAUUGAAUAAUAAUAAUAAUUUCAUGGUAACAUGGUAUGGAAUCACUAGUACUCAUGGAUGAGAACAUACUUUAAACCAAUUAACUUGAAAAGAUAAUAAUUUUAUAGUUUAAAAAGGGUUGCUUGAACUCCAUGGAUGAAAGGAAUCCAUAGAUGAACAUCUAACAUACCUGGGAUGAUGAAUUUGGAAGGAUUGAUGGAGAGUUCUUGAGGUUUGACCUUGAUUCUUGAAGGUUAGGGUUUUGUUACUUGAGAGAAUGUUCUUGAUUUUGGGGAAAAUUGAUUAGAAUAAUACCCAAUUAGGUUAUUAGGGACUUAAUUUCGUGUUUGGGGCUGACUGGGACAAUGGAAAAGUACUUAAAAGCCCUUGAAAUUAACUGAAAAUCCUGAUUUUUUGGGCUGGCGCGAUGCGGCGCUAUCGCGCCGUGUCACUGGAAUCGGACAACUGGGAAACUGGUCUGUGGCGUGACGUGGGAAAAUCACGGUCCUUCACUGAUUGGGACCUGAAAUUUCACCGCGAUGUGGUGGUAUCGCGCUUCGACACUGGAAAUGUACAAAUGUCAAGUUGGCUUAUGGCGCGACGCGCCAGGAUCGCAGACCUUCACUGGAAUUUGCCAAAUGGGAGAUUGGCCUGCUCCGCAACACACUAAAGGUUAAAAUGACAGUGUUUAAUGACUAAAACUUAAAAUCGCCAUAUAUUCUUAACCGGUUAUUUGAUUUGGGCAAAUUUAAUAUUGGUUGAAAGCUAAUUGAAUUUCCUAGGCAAUGGCAGGCUCUAAAUUGAAAAAUAAUGAGUGUUUCAAAAAAUUCAUAUACGAAUACUAAUGUAUUGGGACUUAGAUUAUGCUAGGGAAAUACGGGGUGUUACAAUAUCUCCCCCUUGGGAUCAUUCAUCCCCAAAUGAAACUGGUUAAGCUGAGGAAAUUGAUGGACUGAGCUUACUCACUGAAUAUGCAUGUUUGAUGCAUAAAAUCCAUGACUGAACUGAUUCAUGAAUGCACUACUGGCAUGAACAUGAUGUGCAGCUGAAACUGAGCAUGAUAUUGAAAAAUCUUAAGAAGAUUGGUACCUUAUACUGAAUCUGGAUUCAUGGAGAAAAGAUGAGGGUACUUGGUGCGCAUAUCUGCCUCUGCUUCCCAAGUGGCUCCCUCAACGGACUGAUUUCGCCAAAGAACUUUGACUCGUGGAACUUCUUUGUUCCUUAGUCUACGAACUUGAUGAUCAAGAAUUUCAAUUGGAACUUCCUCAAAGGAAAGACUGUUCUGAAUAUCUAAAUUUUCUAGGGAAACAACCACAUCUGGAUCACCGAUACAUUUUUUCAACAAUGAGACAUGGAACACUGGGUGUACUGAGGCUAAUUCUGAAGGCAACUCAAGCUCGUAAGCUACCUUUCCAAAAUGACUUAGAAUUCUGAAGGGACUGACAUAUCGAGGACUAAGUUUCCCUUUCUUGCCAAAUUUCUUCACUUCUUUCAUAGGAGAGAUUUUCAAGUACACAAAAUCACCGACCUCAAACUCGAGAUCCUUUCUCCUUAUGUCUGCAUAUGAUCUUUGUUAGCUCUGGACAGCCCUAAGCCUCUCUCUAAUUAACUGAACCUUCUCCAACAUAUCAAAGACCAAGUCAGGACCUACUACAGCGGCCUCACCUACUUCAAACCAAUCAAUUGGAGAUCUACAUCUCCUACCAUGGAGAGCCUCAAACGGAGCCAUACGGAUACUGAAAUGAUAGUUGUUAUUGUACAUGAAUUCAAUCAAAGGAAAAUAGUUAUCCCAACUACCCUUGAAAUCAACAAUGCAUGCUCUUAGCAUAUCCUCAAGAGUCUGGAUGAUUCUUUCUGCUUGACCAUCUAUUUGAGGGUGGAAAGGUGUACUGAGAUGGACUUGGGUACCAAGACCCUUUUGGAAUGCUUUCCAGAAGUGAGAUGCAAAAUAGGUACCUCUGUCUGAGAUUAUAGAUAAGGGAACACCGUGCAACCUAACCAACUCUUUGAGAUAGAGUUUGGCAUAGUCCUUGGCUGAAUAAGAGGUAUGGACGGGAAAGAAAUAAGCUGAUUUGGUCAUCCUAUUUACGAUAACCCAAAUGGAAUCAUGCUGAUGACGGGUACGAGGCAAACCUGUCACAAAGUCCAUGUUCACUUCAUCCCAUUUCCACAUGGGAAUACUGAACUCCUGCAUGGACCUACUAGGCUUCUGGUGCUUAACCUUAACUUGCUGACAUGUAGAGAACUUAGCUAAAAACUCUGCAAUAUCUUUCUUCAUCCCACGCUACCAAUAGAUCUCCUGUAAAUUAUGAUACAUCUUAGUGGCCCUUGGAUGAAUCGAGUAACGUGUACCAUAUGCUUCUAUAAUAAUUCAUUGCCUUAAAUCAUCUACACCAGGCACACAUAAUCUACCCUAACAGCGCAACACACUAUCUCUCCUUUAGGAGAACACCUCUACUUUCUAAUCUUUGACUGAAUCUUUUAACUUAACUAGACUGGGAUCUUUAUCCUGCUUUUCCUUCACCUCGGAUACUAGAGAUGACUCUGAGCUACUCUGCACCCAUACACUACCUUUUAUUGAAUAGACUAAGCAGACACCUAGUUGGGCAAGCUGAUGAACUUUUUGAGCCAACUUCUUCUUACCAUCUUUAACAUGAGCUACACUACCCAUAGAUAUUCUACUGAGAGCAUUAGCCACUAUAUUGGCCUUGCCCGAAUGAUACAGAAAACUCAUGUCAUAAUCUUUUAAUAACUCUAACCACUUUCUUUGAUGCAAAUUCAAAUCUUUCUCAGAGAACACAUACUGAAGGCUUUUGUGAUCUAUGAACACAUCUACAUGCACCCCAUAUAAGUAAUUCCUCCAAAUCUUUAAGGUGAAUACUAUUGCUACUAGCUCAAGAUCAUGAGUCGGAUAAUUCUUCUCAUGAGGCUUAAGUUGUAUGAAGGCAUAGGCCAUGACCUUACCUCUUUGCAUGAGGACACAAACCAAACCUAAUCUGGACAUAUCACAGUACACAACAAACCCAUCGAAACUAUCUGGCAGAGUAAGAACUCCAGCUAAGGUGAGUCGAGUCUUCAACUCCUGAAAACUCUUCUCACAGGAAUCUGAUCACUAAAACUUAAAUUUCUUUUGAGUCAAUCUAGAUAUGGGGGAUUCCAUAGAAGAAAACCCUUCAACAAAUCAAUGAUAAUAGCCAUCCAAACCCAAGAAACUCUUGAUAUCUGAUGGAGAGAUAGAUCUAGGCUAGUUUCUCACCGCUUUAGUCUUUUAAAGAUCGACUCUAUUGCCAUCACCGAAAAUGAUAUGGCUAAGAAAAGCUACUGAUCUUAGCUAGAAUUCACACUUACUGAAUUUAGCAAACAACUAGUGAGCUCUAAGAGUUUGUAACACUAUCCUGAGAUGGUCUGCAUGAUCAUUUUUGUUACGGGAGUAAGCAAGAAUGCCAUUAAUGAAGACUAUGAUGAACAUGUCCAAGUACUGCUUGAAUACUCAAUUCAUAAAGUCUAUGAAGGUUGAUGGGGCAUUCGUAAGACCAAAGGACAUGACUAGAAAUUUGAAAUGACAUACCGAGUUUGAAAAGCUAUUUUUGGAAUGUCAUGUUCGCUGAACCUAACCUGAUAAUAGCUGAUCUGAGGUUUAUCUUGGAAAAGUAACUGGCACCCUGAAGUUGGUCGAACAAGUCAUUGAUUCUAGGAAGUGGGUAUUUAUUCUUUACUGUGACUUUGUUACGCACGAAUAGAAUAGGUGUGCCCCAUGGGGAGAUGCUGGGUCUGCUGAAUCUUUUAUCUAAAAAAUCCUUCAACUGUUCUUUCAGUUCUUUGAGUUCAGCUGGAUCCAUUCUGUAUGGCAGAAUACAUAUAGGCUGAGUAUCUGGGAAAAGGUCUAUUCCAAAGUCGAUCUCCCUUUCGGAAGGAACUCCAGGGAGAUCUUUAGGGAAUACAUUUGAGAAUUCAUUUACUACUGGGACUGACUAAAGAGUAGGAGUUUCUGAGUUAGAGUCUCUGACUCGAACAUGAUGGUAAAUACACCCCUUUGAUAUCAUCUUUCUAGUUCUAAGGUAUGAGAUCAACUAACCCCUAAGAGCUGUAGUACUACCCCUCCAUUUAAGGACUAGUUCAUUUGGGAACUAAAAAUAAACUAUUCUAUUUCUACAAUCAACUGAGGCAUAGCAUGAGUUGAGCCAAUUCAUACCGAGAAUAAUGUCAAAAUCUGUCAUCUCUAACUCCACGAGAUAAAUUAAGGUAACUUUUUAAGAUAUUGUGACCAGAUAGUUCUUGUAUACCUGUCUGGCUAUAAUGGAAACAUCUAUUGGGGUAGACACUAAAAAAGGCUCAGCUAGAUUUUUGGGACUGACUCUAAAAUUGACGGCUAUAUAUGGAGUUACAAAAGAAAGAGAAGCUCUAAGGUCUAGUAAAGCAUAAACAUAUAAGUGAAAAACCUGCAACAUACAGUAACUAUGUCAGGAGAAUUUUACUGAUCUUAACAGGACUAAAGAGCAUAUUAUUUGUUUGGACACUGACCACUGGUAGCACUGGAAGUGGCACCCUGCUGAGUUGGGCGGCUGGAUGGAACUGACGACUGAUGGGACUGGCCCUAUUGGCGUGCAUCCCUACCUUUCUGAGAAACUACCCGAUACUCUUGAAUCUGAUGGCCUGUCUUACCACACCCAAAGCACACAUCACUACCCGCUCUACACUCACUCUGAUGGUGUCUGCCAUACUUCUGACAUAAAAGAUUGGUAUGAACAAGCUAACACUAACCUAGGACUUAGAGGUUAGUGCCCUAUACCUAUUGUCAUUUUUUAAUUUAGGUACUGGGGCACUGGCUAAAGAGAGUGCUAGAGAUGAAAACCAUUGAUAAAACUGAGGAUGGUUACUGCCCUUUGACUUUGGCUGAUUGAAAUUAAAACUACCCAUUCUAGCUCUCUUGUUUUCUCUCUCCCUCUCCUUUAUAUUCUACUUCUCUAUCUAUUGAGCAUAAGCUAUCAGUCUAGAAAAGUCCAUCUUAUUAAUCAGUACUCUGGUCCUACACUCCUUGACCACACUAUUAGACACGCCAAACACAAACUUACUCAUCUUGGACUUACUGUCAGCUACCACAUGAGGAACAUAUAUAGAUAACUGAGUGAACUUGAGAGAAUACUCCCUCACACUCAUGCUGCCUUGCCUCAAAUUAAUGAAUUCUAUCACCUUGUCCUCCAUCACCUCUAAUAGAAAGAAUCUGUCCAGUAAAGUCGUGACAAACUCUUUCUAUUCUGUAGGCCCUACAUCAACACCUCUAUCCACUUUCUACUGUUUAAACUAAGUAUGGGAUAUAUCCUACAAUUGAUAUGUAGACAACUCAUCACUCUAACUAGAUGUCACCCCUAUAGCAUCCAUUACCUUCUGAACCAUAUCUAAGAAUUUCUGUGGAUCCUCUUCAGACUUGGUCCCCGUGAAGGAAGAAGGAUUUAUUUAGGUAAAGUCCUGAAUUCUGGUUGGAGUAUUAUUGGCUACUGGGUUGGUCGGAAUAGCAGUUGGCCGUUCAUUCUGUGCUGCUAUGGAGUUUUCUAGAGUAGUGAACGUAGUCCUGAAUUAUGCAUGAGAGACAUGCCCAUCCAGAGGAUCUGCCUGGACGGGCUGAAGGGAUGGUUGAGUUCUUGUUCUUCUUUCGUUCUUCUUGGGAGGCAUGUUCUGUAAAUUAAAGAAGGAAACAAAUUAGACUAAAAGUUUAACUUGAGCUCAUGCUCAAUCUCAUGACAUAAAUACUAAAAGAAGGGAGACUUUUCCUAAACGCCGAGUAGCCUCUCGUCCAUAUGUGUGGCGCGCUACACACCCAUGCACAAGACUCUACUUGAUGCGGCUUUCAAACUUCCUAGGACACUUUAGAACCUUAGGCUCUGAUACCAAGUUUGUCACGACCCAAGUCUACCCCCUAGUCGUUACACAUUGCUUACGGUCCCAAGAGACCAUAAGCUAACCCAUGAGCUGUACCUGCUGUGAGCACUGAAUAAUAUAAUCAUGAAUGUGGAAGAAUAACUUAAAUACCAUAAUGUUUUAAUAAUGAAAUAGCUACUAAAUUAUGAAUCUGAUAAAAAUACUUAAAUCUGAAUCGUCUGAAUAGCUAACUGUAGUGUCUGAAAAGCCUCUAAACUAAAUACUGUGAGUUGAUGGGAUAGGCCCCUAACUAACUCUACUAACUAUUGAGAUAAAGAUAUAAAGUAAUAUAAUCUAUACUCAGAUGAUGAGGACUCACCACUGCUACUGUACUACUAAUAAUUUGAGAAUUUAGGUGCGAUCUGGGAACUGAGCAUCAGCACCUAUGAUAUGAGACAUCAUGGUGCAAAAGAAAAGUAUGUGAUCAUACUUUGAAUAUACUGAUAUACUAAAUGAGGUAGGACAUGCAAGGUUUCAUGAAUAGAAGUAAUAAACUAUCUGAAUACACAUGUAAAGCAUGGAGUACUAAGAAUAGGACAUGGAAUUCGUAGAUACUAAAAAUAUGGAGAAUCUGUAAAUACUGAGUAUGCAUGACAGUCUGUAAAUACUAAAGAUAUAUGAAAAUCUAUAAAUACUAGGGAUGCAUGACCAAGCAUAUAACAUGGACUGAGUAAUAUCUGUAAACUGAAGUACUAAAAUAACUGGUAUCUGUAUGCUUGGAUCAAACAAUACUAAAACUAAAUGACUGACUGGAGCUGUAACUAAGACUGCAUCUGAUACUGUGAGAGGUAUCAUCUAGUCGACAUUUCCCAAUUUGAGCUAAUUGGAGUCCAACCUGUAACCCCAGUUGGAAGGGUAUUAAUACUGUGCCAUGGUACUAACAAUGGCCGUGUGGAUCUACUAAAUUGAUAUAAUGUCCAAAGUACUAAGGGUGUCAAGCCUGAACUAGCGGGUGACCCCUACGAGAUAGUCAAGCCUAAUCUGACAGGUGACUACUCAUAUUCUAUGCUGGCUACAUAGUUUCAAAGUAUAGGGACUACUAUUAACAACUCUACCUAUCUGACAGGGAAACUGCCAUUCCUACACUCGCUCGAUGCUAAAUCCUACUCCCAACUGAAAGACUCUAAAAUACUAGACUUUUCUGAGUUUAACUGACUAUUCUGAUAAUGCUCAUAAUAUAAUCUAAAGUCAUUCUGAAGAUACUGCAAUGAGACUAAGUAAACAACUAUGGUUUUUGGGUAUUCAAUACCCCCAGGACUCAAAAAAAUAAUAAUGAAAAGACACUAAAGCUUAAGGGACAAAGCAUGAAGGUUUUUAUUAAAUCAAUCACUCUUAUAGGCUUUUUAUCAAACACUUGUAGUUCAUGGUUCAAAACAAUUAUAGGAAUGUCCUAAAACAUAUAGAAAUAGCAUGAAUCCGUCGUAAUAGAGCUAAAUCAUAGCUUUGUUCCAUAAAUAAUAAUAUUAAAACAUGGGAAAUUGAAUAAUAAUAAUAAUAAUUUCACGGUAACAUGGUAUGGAAUCACUAGUACAUGGAGAUUCAUGGAUGAGAACAUACUUUAAACCAAUUAACUUGAAAAGAUAAUAAUUUUAUAGUUUAAAAAGGGUUGCUUGAACUCCGUAGAUAAAAGGAAUCCAUGGAUGAACAUUUGACAUACCUGGGAUGAUGAAUUUGGAAGGAUUGAUGGAGAUUUCUCGAGGUUUGAUCUUGAUUCUUGAAAGUUAGGGUUUUUAUACUUGAGAGAAUGUUCUUGAUUUUAGGGAAAAAUUGAUUAGAGUAAUGACCAGUUAGGUUAUUAGGGACUUAAUUUGGUGUUUAGGGCUGACUGGUACAAGGGAAAAGUCCUUAAAAGCCCUUGGAAUUAAAACUCAGAACUGACUAAAAAUACUAAUUUUCUGGGCUGGUGCAGUGCUAUCGCGCCGUGUUACUGGAAUCGGACAACUGGAAAACUGGUCAUGGUGCGACGUGGGGAAAUCGCGGUCCUUCAUAGAUUGGGACCUAGAAGUUCACUGCGAUGCGGUGGUAUCGCGCUUCGAAACUGGAAAUGGACAAAUGUCAAGUUGGCCUAUGACGUGACAUGGCAGAAUCGUGGACGUUCACUAAAAUUUGCCAAAUGGGAGAUUGGCCUGCUCCGCAAUGCGCUAAAGGUUAAAAUGACGGUGUUUAACGAUUGAAAAUUUAAAUCGCCAUAACUUUUUACCUAGUUAUUGGAUUUGGGCAAAUUUUAUUUCGUUAGAAAGCUAAUUGAAUUUCCUAUGCAAUGGCAGGAUCUAAAUUGAAAAAUAAUAAGUGUUUCAAAAAUUUCUUACAUGAAUACUCAUGUAUUGGGACUUAUAUUAUGCUUUGAAAAUAUGGGGUGUAACAAACACUGUCCUAUUAUUGCGUGCCUAUUUCUCUUUACUUUUAAUCAUUCCUAGGUUUGGAUAGUGGUGUGUUGGCUAAAGAUAGUUGGUUUAGAUGAUAUUUUCUAGAAGGACGACCUAUUCCCAAUCCUAGUCCUAUGCUAAAUGAACUUGUGAUUUAUUUUUGUCCCUCUUAUUAUGAAACUCCUCUCAACCUUCUACAUAUAGAUCAUAAGUCUGCCAAUGUCGAUAUCACCAAUUAAUAUUGAUGCUCUACCCUCCUUAAUUGAAUGAUGGAAGAGCCCAGACAUAAACAUGAUCAUCAUAUUCCAUAUUAGCUACUAUAUUUAGAGUAUUGCGAUAUAGCUAAGUGAAAUUAAGGUUAUACUUCAUCAUGCCCAUCAAAACAUGCUCCAUAUCGAAGAGUUCUUAGGAAUUAUCUUAUCUCAAAUCUUAAGGAAUGAAAUGCCCCGAGAAUGCGUAACACCCCGUGUUUUUGGUCCUUGAAAAUUUCUAAAAUUUUAUCCUCACUACCUUGACUACGACUUACCCUACGAGUCAUAGGGAGUCAUAAUGAGUUGUUAGACUCAAAUCCUAACCUAAAUAGUAAGUGUGUGACUAAGUUCUUCUUUGAGUACGAGUGGCUCACUAAGAGUCGUAAGAACUUGUUACGAUUCAUUGGGUGUAAAUCGUAGGAUGUCCAAUGUUUACCCUAAAUGGGUUCUGUGUCAACUACGACUGGACCCUGCGAGUCGUAGGGUCCUAUUACAAGUCAUAAUAGUUGAGCCGUACGGUCAAUAGUGUGUGGGUCACGACUGAAUUUUAGCUUUUAAAUAGAUGGCACUUUGGACAAUUCCUUCCUUACCCAAUUAAAAAUCCCAUGUUCAUAAAACACUUAACAGGGGUUAUUUCCCAUUCAUAGCGUAAUCAAACACAUCCAAAAACUCUCUCAAGUAUCUCAAGCAACCAUACUUAGGGAUUCUAAGAGGUAGAUUAUCUAUGGACUCAAUGAUGGAAUUCUCUCCAUUAAAUUGGAUAUUUCAGGCAUGUUACUCUUUCCUAAUAGCUAAUUUGUUAAAAGCAUAUAUUUUAAAGUGUUUUUCGUAUGGUAUUCACAUUGAUCUUUGUUAAAAACCUAGGGUUGCACCACAUAGUGAGGGACCAGGUCUAUCAAAAUUAGUCGCAGGUAAAAACACAAUAAAUGAACCAGGAACUCAACAAAAUGCAGGAAACAUAAAGAACACAAGAUUUAACGUGGAAACUCCCUUGCUCAAGGGAAGAAAAACUUUGGCUUUCCCUUAUAAGCACCAACAACUCCACUAUAAUCAAACUCUUGAUUAUAGAGUUUAAUGAACUUAACUCUAGGUUCCUCCUGCUUGUAAUAACUCUACUACAAACCUAUCUUGACAACUCUGCCAAGAACAUACCUUAGUAUUGAUUAACUCUAACCAAUAUCCACCUUAGGUAACUCUACCUAAGCUCUCUCAAAGUAAGAAUAAAAGAACACUACUCUUAUAAAAUGAGUAAUUCAAUUACAAUUCAGGACUCAACUCAAGAACACUCACUUUUUUUAUUUAUAAGAAACAAAAACUUGAGCUAUACUUGAGCAAUGAAGCUAGAUGUAGUUUUUGCCUCUCUCAAUUUCUUUAAUUCUAAAUUUUGCAAAAAAUGCUUAAUAGAAAAAUAUCCUUUUUAUUUUAUAGUUUAGUAAUGAUUAGGGUUGAAAUACAGUUGGACUAGGAGGCCUUAUUAGUACAAGCAGCUCCUGCAUAGUUUGUUACACAAGAGGACAAAAUAGUGCAGAUGCGUGCCAGGUGUACUAUUGCCUUGAACAUUUAAGGACCUGGUACCUCAUAGUCAGCUACUCAUUAUCAAAACAAGAUACAAUAAUUUAACCUCUUUUUGAUGAUGAUAAACCAACCAUAAAGGUUUGAGCAUCAAUGUACAAUCAUCAUAUUUAAUCAGUGUGAUUACCAGUACUAAAGAUGAAUGUUCACCCUAUCAUGCAACACCAUACUUUCAUCAUCAUACAACUUAGGGAUCUGGUCCCUUGUUGUCGUUUGUUAUAAAAAACUCAACUCAUUGUUGCAAUUUCAAUAUUUUCUCCUGUGAAUAUGCAUAAUCAAUUCUUCCCCUUAUUAACAUGCUAUGCACACAUCUGUAAUUCAAUAUUUACACACUCGGUACCUGAUGGUUACCUGGUACCUACCAUAUGAAGUUAAUUUUCCCUCUUUUAGCAUCAUUAAAAAAUAAAAAUAGUAAACCAAGAGUAAAAUAAGCACAGGUUAGUUAACUCAUGGCCACUAGGGCAACACUAACAUGAAGAACCUCAUUAUUAGUAAGAGGAAAUACAUGCAACUCACAAAUAAAGAUUCAUUCAUAUGUAGAGGCCAAGUAUCAUUGCAGUGCAUAAUUAAAAUAUUCCAUAGAAAAUCAAUAAGAAUCAAGAAAGGUUAAACCGGAGAGGGACUUGGAAGGAUGGUUUGAAGGAGUAGAGCUAGGUUAUUGUCUUCUAUAGCAUUUGCAACAUAGUUCUAGGAGUUCAAUUCUUACACACAAUACCAAAGUGAUCAAACACUUUAUUUAACCAAUAACCAUAAGGCAUGCCAUGUUUGCUAUUUUUUCCAAGAACCACUUUAUGUAUGUGUUCCAUCAUCAAUGAAGGUAAACUAAUGAACUCAAAACUACUAAGACAUUCUAUGACAUACAAGUCAGUAGCUGAAGCAAUGUUUCUUUUUUGUAAUCUGUCAAAACUACUUUGUUUAAAAAAUCAUAGGCCAAUUGCAACUCACACUUGAGUGAUUUACUAUUCACUACAGGCACUGAUUUUUCUUUAACCUUGGAUACAGUUGCAAAAAACUCUAUUGAUUGUUGUUGCCUUGAGACAUUCCUCUCAUCACAGUAAAAUAUCCUAGGUUUUAAACCUUAGAAAAUUUCCUAUGUUUCAAGUGUUUGUUGAUCAUACGAUUUACUAUACAAGCUCUUUGGUGAGUAUGCGGGUCGUGUGACCCAAUUCAUAUAUUAACCAGUGUUUGGUGAUUGAGUUUCUUUUUUGGUUACAGUUUAGUGGUACGGGUCAUAUGGUUGUUGAUGGGUUGGUUAGUUGAUCCUUUACUUAAUCUAAAACUUGGUGAUUUGACUUGCCUUAGAGUAUGAGUGGGUUACUAAGAGUAAUACGGAUAGGGUAUGAGUGGUAUAAUCUAAAUUGUAUGUUGUCCAGUGUCCAUCCUAAAUGUUUCUACCUAGGGUACGGGUUAAAGGUAUGAAUCAUAUAUCUAUGGUAUGACUGGGUAAGGGGAGUCAUAUGGUGGAUAGUGUGUGAUGUCCAACAUCCUAUCCAGGUAUGAAUGGUGGGUACCACUUAUAUAAUGUGGGUACGAUUCAAGGGAGAGUCAUAACUUUCUGCAGGAGUAUUACAGUUUAAGUUGGGAGUAUUCUAGAUAUUUCUCCUCUUAACCCCUUAUGACCCCAUGACCUAAAAAACUAUUGGGAUAUUAUUUACUCUAUUAUUCUAAUAUUAAACACUUAGAAACUCUCUCUAAACUCUCUCAAGCUCUUGGAUUAAGUAAAGGAUAGGGUUUUUUUCAAGGUGGUCAACUAAGGCUUUAAAGGGGUGAUUUCUCUCUGUCUUCUUCAUAAUCUAAGGCAUGUUACUCCUCCCUCAUUGUUAGUUCUAUUAAAGUUAAUUUUUAUGAAUGGUUUUCAUAGCUUAAUUAUGAUAUGGUUUUGGGUUCUUAAUUAUAUGUUUGGGGUUUGGGUUACUAAUGGUUGAUUCAUGUUUUCCUAUGUUUUUACUUGUGGUUUUCAUAUUAUAAUAGUGGUUUGAACAUAUGGUUGUAUGGGAAUGGUCAAUUGUUUCUUGGUUUUAGUUUUGAAAACUAUAUGCCCUCAAUAUGUCUGUUAAAAUGCCUAUUAGAAUGCUUUUAUUACAUAGUUAGACUUUCAUUAAAAACUUUGCAUGGUAUAAUAAGGUAAUGGAACCUAAAUUGGUUAAUGGUUUUAAUGGCUAAAUUUUAAGGUCAUGGUGGCAAUGGCAUUGAUUAAAAACUUUUUGAGGUACAUGGGAAUCCCCUAAUUGAAUCUAAUAAUGGAACCUAUGGGGUAUAUAGGAAUCCCCUAGGUGAUUAGCUAAGGACAUUCCUUGCAAGUUAUAAUCGGUAUGAUGAUACCACUUCUUAUAGACCUUGUCAAUAUUGUAUGGAAUUUGUGGUUUGGUAGUAUGAUAAUGGUUUUAAUUACACAAUAAUAGUGGGUUGUUAUAGCUAAUUAUGAAGGUGUGAGUCCAAUGGACGGAUACAGAAAACUCAUAUUUGCCGACAUGAGGAUUGGUCAUAGCGAACAUAUACUUAUGGGGUACAUAUGAAUCCCCUAAGUUAAACUUGAAUAUAUGUAUCAUAGAGGGUGAAGGGGUACACAGGAAUCCCCUGCCCCUAUGAUAUCUCCGAUACAUACGGCUACAUGUACUGUGGCCCGUUCAGGGGGUAACACUGACCCAUAUAGCCUGUGGGUGGUUCUAGGAUGGUUAAGCUAUACAAACUCAGUUUAAUACUUUAAAUUCAUGCUAAACUCGGUCCCCUAUCCCUGCAUGGAUUUUAUAUAUAUAUAUAUAUAUAUACAUAUAUAUACACACACACAUACAUAUAUAUACAUAUAUAUACAUAUAUAUAUAUGAAUAUGAAUGCAUAUGGUUAUUUACUUGGUUUUAAAUGUUGGUACUAUUUUAUCCUUAUCCUGAGUACAUGUUGGUGUUCACCCACUAACUCGUAUUCAGGCGUUGCAUCCCCACGCAAUGUAGGAACCGACCAUACUACACAUCCUGCUCAGUGAUCAAAUUUAGGAAUAGCUUAGAGUUGGAGUAAAGUGGUGUGGUUCCAUACUUUGGAAGGUUCCAUUUUAUGUUAUGGUCUUGUCAUCAUACUUUGGUUAAUUUUUUGACUUUAGUUUUGGUUAUGGUCGGGGGCAUAUCCCAACUUAAUACUAUUUUACUUUUGAAUAGAGGCUUUUUGAGACUACUAUGGGUUAUUAUGGGCGGUGUCAGCAUUAGUGUUAGCCCUGGCAUUGGUAAUGGUAUUAUGGAUGAUACUGGUUGACUAUAUUUGAUUUGUGAUUGUUCCACCUUAUUAUGUUAUGGAUUGGUUAUGUGAUGGUUUUCAGUUUGGUAUUGGAUAGUUUGACUUGUUUGGGUUGUUCAUGGUUAUAGACCUAUCUAAAGUCUUGAGUGAUAUAUAACUCUAUCUUGUUAUAUGUUCAAAAUUUAUCCAACUUAGAGUAUGUGUUUGGAGGUUAGGUUGGGUAUUGGGGGUAGUCCUCAAUUUUUGUUGGAAUUGGGUUGCCUAUUAAAAUAAGGCCCUAGUGUGGGUCCUGUCAAGUUGGUAUCAGAUCCCUAGGUUUAUGGUCAAUUGAGAGUCCACAAAGUUAUGUUGAUUAGAGUCUGUUUUAAGGGUAUGCAGUAUGCCAUACUUAUAAGGGAUAGGCUAUAAGGCAUUUAGGAAUAUUUCUCUUUCUUGUGUUUUAUUUUUAAGCUUUGGAGUCUAAGUCCUGGAAUCUUCUCUAAUUCUCAUUUGUUCACUUUUUAGAUCAUGCCUCAAUGAUCUGAAGUUCAUGGAAACUCCUCCAUCUGGGGAUAAUGUUUAUGGGACAUACUCUACUCAGGGGGUCCAUACUCAAUCUAAGAGUCUAAUUCUAUAUCAUUUUAGAGUUCCAUCGGUUCCUUUUUGUCCUUCUCGGGCUCCUCAGACUAAUCUGAUGAAUGCUGAGUUUUGUCAGUCUAUUCAUAUGUUGGCCUAAUUUGUAUCUACUCAGUUUAAGCGUGGUAUUCCUGUUACGCCAUCUUUUGAGCCACGAGGGUUGGCCAGUUCAUUAGUUUGAACCCUCUGACCUUUACAGGUGCUAAGGUGGAGGAAGAUCCAUAAUAUUUUCUGGAUUAGAUGGAAAAGAUUUUUCAUAUUAUUCAUUCCAUGAAUGUGGAAGGGGUGGAGUUUAUGUCUUAACAGCUAAAAGAUGUAGCGUACCAAUGGUAUAAAGAAUAGGUACAGGCAAGGGGUGACACUGAUGAGUCAUCAUUGUGGGAGGAUUUCACUAAUACAUUCUUGGACUAUUUAUUUUCUCAAAAAUUUUAAGUUCUCUAAGUAGGGUGGUGGUCAAUAGCAGAAUGGUAGGGAUGGUGGUAAGUGACCUAAGAAGAAGUGGCGCAACUCUGGCUCUUAUUUGAAGGCUAGUGUUCCAUACUCAAAGCCUUUGGGUGAUAGGAAUUUCCAUGGUGGUGACAACUUUAGGGAAUAGGGUGCCUAAUCUCAGGCUAGUAGGGUUCAUUCGGCUCUAUCGUAUCAUUUUGGCAGGUUUUGUGGUUGUUUGUAUAGGGGUUUCUAUGAUGAGGGAAGGUAUAAGUGCUUUGGUUUUGUCAGCUAGGCCAUAUGCUUAGCAACUAUCCUAUUGGUAAGGUUACCACUAGGGUAAACAAGGUUCCAGUUGCUUCUUCUUAAUCUUUAGCACCAAAGGGUGCACCCUCUAGUUCAAGCACUAGUCGAUAUUGUCUUUAUGCUCUCACUACCCGAUAGAAAUCUGAGGCAUUGUUUAAUGUCAUGAUUGGUAUGUUGCAACUCUUUUCUUGUGUAUAUAUUAUUUAUUUGAUCUAGGGUCCACUCUCUCCUAUUGACUCCCUUUUUGGUUGUGUAUUUUAGUUUUGGUCCGAAGUGUGUUUAGACCCUUUUUCUAUUUCUACCCUAGUAGGUGACUCUGUGAUUUUAAAAGGAGUCUAUAGGGGAUGUGUGGUAUCUGUUGGUAGUAAGAAGACUUUGGUAGAUUUGUAUGAGUUCUAUAUGAUUUAUUUCGAUGUUACUUUGGUAAUGGAUUGGUUACACUCGUGCUAUGUGUCCCUAGAUUGUUGGACUCAUAGGGUCGUCUUUAAAUUUCCUAAUAAAUUUGCUAUUGAGUGGGAGGGUGGUUCCCUAGAUCCUACGGGAAAGUUUAUAUCAUAUCUUAGAGAUCAAAGAUUAAUCUCCAGGGGGUGUCUCUGUUAUGUAAUUUGGGUUAAAAAUUCUAACUCAGAGGGUCCUUCUCUGCAUUCGAUUUUGGUGGUGAAUGAAUUUCCUGAGUCUUCCCUAAUGACCUUCCUGGUGUUCCUACAAAUAGGGAAAUUGAGUUUGGGAUUGAUCUUAUUCCGGACACUCAUCCAAUUUUUAUUCCCCCAUAUAGAAUGGCUCCAGCUGAGUUGAAGGAGCUUAAGGAGCAGUUAAAGGAUCUUUUAGAUAAGGGUUUCAUCUGUCCUAGUAUGUCCCCAUGGGGUACAUCGGUGUUGUUUUUGCGUAAUAAAGACGGUUCUCUUUGAAUGUGUAUUGACUACUGCCAGUUGCAUAAGGUGACAGUAAAGAACAAGUAUUCUCUUCCAAGAAUAGAUGACUUGUUUAAUCAGUUGUAGGGUGCCAAAUUUUUUUCUAAGUUUAAUCUUCAAUUUGUGUAUCAUUAGCUUAAGAUUGGGGAAGUGGAUAUCCCUAAGACUGUUUUUCGUACCCGGUAUGAGCACUUUGAGUUCUUGGUGAUGCCGUUUGGUUUGACCAAUGCCCGACGACAUACAUGGAUUUGAUAAAUAGGGUUUUCUAUUAGUUUUUGGAUCUAUUUUUCAUUGUUUUCAUAGAUGACAUUCUAGUUUACUGUGAGAGUUAAGUGAUCAUGUCUAUUACCUCUAAGUUAUGUUGCAAACCUUGAAGGAGCAACAAUUGUAUGCCAAAUUCUCUAAAUGUGAGUUCUAGUUUAACACUGUCACUUUUCUUGGUCAUAUUAUUUCUAACGAGGGGAUCAGGUAGAUACCCAAAAGGUUGCAGUGGUUAAGAAGUGGCCUAGACCCAUGAAUCCAAUCGAUAUUCAGAGCUUCUUGAGUUUACCUGGAUACUACAGAAGGUUUGUGGAGAUCUUUUCUUCUAUAGCUACCCCGUUGACUAAAUUGACUCAGAAAAAGUUUAAGUUCCUAUGGUCGGAUGCGUGUGAGAGUAGUUUUGAGAAGUUGAAAGAUAAGCUAACUUUGGCUCCAGUUUUCACUUUGCUCGAAGGCACUGAUGGGUUUUUAGUUUACUGUGAUACAUUCUGGUAGGGGUUGGGUGCAUUUUGAUACAACAUGGUAAGAUGAUAGCCUAUGCCUCUAGGCAGUUGAAGGUGCAUGAGAGGAAUUAUCCUACUCAUGAUUUGAAAUUGCUAGGUCUGGUGUUUGCAUGAAAAAUCUGGUGUCCCUAUUUGUAUAAGGUGCAUAUGGAUAUCUUUUUCAAUCAUAAAAGCCUACAGUAUGUGUUCACUCAAAAAGAGCUUAAACUUAGGCAAAGGAUAUGGAUUGAGCUUCUCAAGGACUAUGACAUAAGUUUUUACUACCAUCCAGGUAAAGCUAAUGUAGCUGUUGAUGUUGUUAGCGGGUUAUCCAUGGGGAGUCUAGCUCAUGUGGAUAAGGAGAAGUGGGAGUUGGUGAAGGAUAUUCACUAUUUGGCUAACCUUGGAGUUUGCCUCUUAAACUCUGAGGAUGGUGGUGUGUUCAUACAUAAGGUGUCGUAGUCAUCUCUUGGUGCUAAAAUCAAGAAGAAAUAGAUGAUAGAUCUUGAUUUGUGAAGGAUAAAGGGUGAUAUUUGUGGGUAGAAGGUAGUGGCCUUCGAGAUUAAUGGUGAUUGUUACCUUGUGAUACCAAGGGAGGUUGUAUGUUCUCGAUGUUGAUGGUUUGUGAGACAGGAUCCUGGCUGAGGUACAUGAAUUGCACUAUGUUGCUCAUCUUGGUUCAGCGAAGAUGUAUCAUGACCUUAUGGAGAUGUAUUAGCGGAAUGGUAUGAAAAGGGAUGUGACUGAUUUUGUAGCCAAUUACAAGGUGUGUCAAUAAGUGAAAGCUGAGUACAUGAGUCCUGGUGGAUUGUAUCAAGAAAUUAAAUUGCCUGAAUAGAAAUGGGAAGUGAUCAACAUGGAUUUCGUUACCGGGUUUCCUUGGUCUCAGAAUUAGUUUGAUUCGAUUUGGGUCAUCAUGGAUAGGAUGACAAAGUCGGCUCACUUUUUGAUAGUAAGGACUUAAUUUUUGGAUAAGGAUUAUGCGAGUUUGUAUCUUUAUGAGAUUGUGAAUCUAUAUGGGGUGCCUGUCUCUAUCAUCUCUGAUUAUGUCACAUAGUUUACAUCUUACUUUUGGUGGUCAUUUCAAAAAGGGUUAGGGACUAAGGUGAGUUUGAGUACUGUUUUCCAUCCGUAGAUGGGUGGGCAGGCAGAGAGAACUAUUCAGACAUUGGAGGACAUGAUGCUUGCAUGUGUGAUUGACUAUGGUGGUAGCUGGGUUGAGCAUUUACCUCUUAUAGAGUUUGUUUACAAUAAUACCUAUCACUCUAGCGUUGGGAUGCUCUGUUUAAAGCCUUGUAUGGUAGGAGGUGUAGGUCUUCUAUUGGGUGGUUUGAGCUCAGUGAGGCAGAGAUAUUUAGCCUGGAUUUGGUUCACCAAUCUAUGGAAAAGGUGAAGGUGAUUUGAGAUAGACUUAAGGCUGCCCAAAGUCAUCAAAAGUCCUAUGCGUAUGUAAGGCAAAGAGUGUUAGAGUUUGAGGUUAGGGAUAGUGUAUUCUUAAAGGUGUCUCCCAUGGAGGGAGUGAUGCAGUUUGGUAAGAAAGGGAAUCUCAGUCCCCGGUAUGUGGGUCCUUACUUGGUUUAGUGAAGGGUUGGUAAGGUUGCAUAUAAGUUAGAGUUGCCUUCUAUUUUGAACUCCAUUCAUCUGGUGUUCCAUGUUUCUAUGUUGAAGAAGUGUAUGGGUGAUUCUUCUUAAAUCAUUCCUAUUAGAGAUAUUGAUAUCUCAGAUUCUUUAUCCUAUGAGGAGGUCCUAGUUGAGAUCUUGGAUCACAGGUUCAUAGGUUUUGGACCACUGAUGAAGCUUCGAGUAAAUUUCCAUAGAGGAACCAUUGGGUUGAAGAAGCUACUUGGGAAGUGGGAGAGGACAUGAUGUCCAAAUAUCCGUUUCUAUUUUCUGCUCCAGAAAUUCGUGUGGAAGGUAUUUGUUCUUCAACAUACUUUUGUUUUCAAACUUUGUUAAAGGAAAGACUGAUUUCCAUGCAUCUUAGUUUUCUAACUUAGUUAAAGAUUAGAGUCGAAGUAUUAGGGUGUAAAUCGGGCUUAUAUUGCCUUAUUCUAUCAUUCGAGGAUGAAUGUUCUAAGUGGGGGAGAAUUGAAACACCUGGGGUUUUGGUCCUUGGAAAAUUUCCUGGGUUUUGAGUCUCUAUUGAUCAUAUGACUUAGCAUACAAGCGGUAUAGUGAGGAUACAGGUUGUGUGACCUAAUUCGUCUGCAAACCAUUAUUUGGUGGUUGAGUUUCUUAUUUGGUUACGGGUUGGUUGGGUGAUCCUUCACUUAAUCUAAAACUUGGCGAUUUGACUUGCCUCUGAGUAUGAGUAGCUCACUAAAGGCCAAAAUGAUAGGUAACGAGUGGUAUGAUCUAAAUCAUAUGUUGUCCAGUGUCCAACCUAUAUAUUUCUGCCUAGGGUACGGGUGAAGGUACGGAUCGUAUGAUCAUGGUACGACUGGGUUAAGGGAAGCCGUAUGGUGGACAGUGUGUGAUGUCUAAUAUCCUGUCCAGAGUACAAGUGGUGGGUACCAUUUGUAAGAUAUGGGUACGAUUCAAGGGCGUAGUCAUACCUUCUUGUGGGAGUUUUUAAAGUUUAAGUUGGGGGGGAGGGGUGUAUUCUGAAAAUUUUGCCUCUUAACCUUUUAUGACCCCAUGACCUAAAACACUAUUGGGACAUCAUUUACCCUAUUAUUCUAAUCUUAAACACUUAGAAACUCUCUUUAAACUCUCUCAAGAUCUUGGGUUAAGCAAAGGCUAGGGUUUCCUUUAAGGUGGUCAAUUAAGGCUCUAAAGGGGUAAUUUCUCUUAGUCUUCUUCGUAAUCUAAGGCAUGUUACUCCUCCCUUAUUGUUAGUUCAACUAAAGGCAUGUUUUAUGAAUGGUUUUCAUGGCAUGAUUGUGAUAUGGUUUGGGUUUUUGAAUUAUAUAUUGGGGGUUUUGGUGAUUAACUGUUGAUUUAUGUUUCCCAUGUUUUUACUUAUGGUUUUCAUAUUAUAAUGGUGGUUUGAACAUGUGGUUGCAUGGGAAUGGUCAAUUAGUACUUGGUUUUGGUUUUGGAAACUAUAUUCCCUCAACAUGUUUAUUGCAAUGCCUUUGAGAAUGCUUUUAUUACAUAGUUGGGCUUUCAUAAAAAACUUUGCGUGGUAUAAUAAGGUAAUGGAACGUAAAUUGGUUAAAUGGUUUUAAUGGCUAAAUUGUAAGUCCUUUGUGGCCUUGGCUUUGAUUAAAAACCUUGUGGGGUACAUGGGAAUUCCCCAAUUAAAUCUAAUAAUGGAACCUGCACCGUAUAUGGGAAUCCCCUAGAUGAUCAACUAAGGAUAUUGCUUGCAAGCUAUAAUCGAUAUGGCAAUACCACUUUGUAUAGCCUUGGUUAAUAAUAUAUGGAAUCGGUGGUUUGGUUGUGCUAAUGGUUUUAAUUGGGUAAUAAUGGCGGGUUAUGAUAGUUAACUGUGAAGGUGUGAGUUUAAUGGACAGACACUAGAAGCUUAUGUUUACCGAUAUGAGUAUUGGUCAUGGUGACCAUGUACUUGUCGGGUACAUAGGAAUCCCCUAAGUUAAACUUGUAUAUAUGUAUCAUGGAGGGUGAAGGGUACACUGGAAUCCCCUGUCCCUGUGAUAUCUAUGGUAUGUUCAGCUACAAGCACUGGGCUCGUUCAGGGGGUAACACUUGAACCAUAUAGCCCGCGGGUGGUUCUUGGACGGUUAAGUUACACAAACCCAAGUUAAUGGUUUAAAUGCAUGCUAAACCCGGUCCCCUUUCUCGACAUGGAUUAUAUAUAUACAUAUGUGUGUGUGUGUGUGUGUAUGAAUGUGAAUUCUUAUGGUUAUUUACUUGGUUUUAUAUGUUUGCACUAUUUUAUCCUUAAGUACUUGUUAGCAUUCACCCGCUAACCCAUCUACGGGCAUUGUAUCCCUACGCGAUGCAGGAACCGUCCAUACUACUCCUCCUGCCCAGUGAUUGAAUUUGGGAAUAGCUUAGAGUUGGAUUGAAGUGGUGAGUUUCCAUACUCCGGUAGGCUCCAUUUCAUGUUAUUGUUUUGUCAUCAUACUUUGGUUAUUUCUUAGACUUGGGUUUUGGCUAUGGUCGAGGGCAUGUCCCGAUCGGAUGCUGUUUUACUUUUGGAUAG
Molecule: long non-coding RNA, 31459 nt
Filed under: Capsicum annuum
Lineage: Eukaryota; Viridiplantae; Streptophyta; Magnoliopsida; Solanales; Solanaceae
Description: long non-coding RNA (CANN_LNC013894)
Source: RNAcentral